Ribosomal RNA from Oncorhynchus tshawytscha (Chinook salmon), 119 nucleotides. Lineage: Eukaryota; Metazoa; Chordata; Actinopteri; Salmoniformes; Salmonidae. The record is from Ensembl.
GCUUACGACCACACCGGCCUGAGUACGCCUGAUCUCGUCUGAUCUCGGAAGCUAAGCAGGGUCGGGCCUGGUUAGUACUUGGAUGGGAGACUUCCUGGGAAUACCAGGUGCUGUAAGAU